AAGCGUGCGCAGGCGGUUUUGUAAGACUGUCGUGAAAUCCCCCGGGCUCAACCUGGGAAUGGCGAUGGUGACUGCAAGGCUAGAGUUUGGCAGAGGGGGGUAGAAUUCCACGUGUAGCAGUGAAAUGCGUAGAUAUGUGGAGGAACACCGAUGGCGAAGGCAGCCCCCUGGGUCAAAACUGACGCUCAUGCACGAAAGCGUGGGGAGCAAACAGGAUUAGAUACCCGGGU
This 230-nucleotide ribosomal RNA is filed under the name uncultured bacterium. Its description in RNAcentral is "partial 16S ribosomal RNA". It matches the Rfam family "Bacterial small subunit ribosomal RNA", at positions 563 to 791 of the family's 1533-position model. The record is from RNAcentral.